UACGUAGGCAGCAAGCGUUGUUCGGAAUUACUGGGCGUAAAGAGUGUGUAGGCGGUGCUCUAAGUUUGGUGUGAAAUCUCCCGGCUCAACUGGGAGGGUGCGCCGAAAACUGGAAUGCUUGAACGUGGGAGAGGAAAGCGGAAUUCCUGGUGUAGCGGUGAAAUGCGUAGAUAUCAGGAGGAACACCUGCGGUGUAGACGGCUUUCUGGACCAUAGUUGACGCUGAGACACGAAAGCGUGGGUAGCAAACAGG
Molecule: ribosomal RNA, 253 nt
Filed under: uncultured bacterium
Lineage: Bacteria
Description: partial 16S ribosomal RNA
Rfam family: Bacterial small subunit ribosomal RNA
Source: RNAcentral